Long non-coding RNA from Sebastes umbrosus (honeycomb rockfish), 287 nucleotides. RefSeq lists it as uncharacterized. The record is from RefSeq and is a predicted model, not a curated record. Lineage: Eukaryota; Metazoa; Chordata; Actinopteri; Perciformes; Sebastidae. The transcript is spliced from 4 exons.
AGAGUUAAAACCGAUGUAACGGACUUUUAGCGAGAAAGACAGCCGCAAAAUCUUUCCAUCAGAUAAAUUUGAAAUUCAUUUACAAACUGAAAAGUUAGAUUUUGUUUGUGAUUGUCUUGUUUAAGACAAUUAAAGGCAGGGUUGGUAAUGUUGACAAACCAGCAAGAGUACAUUAGAUUUUGGAAAAAUGAUCCAACCUAAAAACCCGGGGCAGUGUUGCCAACUCUUUUCCAGUGAAAGUAGUUAGCAGCACUACCUCCAAAAGGCCCUACGGGCCUGUGUACACG